UUACGCUGUUAUCCCUAAGGUAAUUUAGUCUUAUAAUCAAUAUAAAUGGAUCAAAUACAUAUAAAUAAAUAUAAAAUAAAUAAAAAGAGUUAAUUAAAUCUUUCCAUCACCCCAACAAAAUAAAUUUUUACAUUAGAAAUUAUCAUACAAAAAAAAUAAAAAUAUAUAAAACUCUAUAGGGUCUUCUCGUCCCAAAAAAACAUUUAGGCAUUUUAACCUAAAAUUUAAGUUCAAAAAAAAAAUAAAGACAGUUAACACCUCGUCAAACCAUUCAUUCCAGCCUACAAUUAAAAGACUAAUGAUUAUGCUACCUUUGCACGGUCAAAAUACCGCGGCCCUUCAAUAUUCAGUGGGCAGGCCAUACAUCAAAAUAUAUUCAAGAAGAGAUGUUUUUGAUAAACAGGCG
Molecule: ribosomal RNA, 406 nt
Filed under: Cryptocercus sp. SHUA1
Lineage: Eukaryota; Metazoa; Arthropoda; Insecta; Blattodea; Cryptocercidae
Also listed under: 1 other name
Description: partial mitochondrial 16S rRNA gene
Source: RNAcentral